This 65-nucleotide transfer RNA is filed under the name Dipodomys ordii (Ord's kangaroo rat). It matches the Rfam family "tRNA". Rfam says of the family: Transfer RNA (tRNA) molecules are approximately 80 nucleotides in length. Their secondary structure includes four short double-helical elements and three loops (D, anti-codon, and T loops). Further hydrogen bonds mediate the characteristic L-shaped molecular structure. tRNAs have two regions of fundamental functional importance: the anti-codon, which is responsible for specific mRNA codon recognition, and the 3' end, to which the tRNAs corresponding amino acid is attached (by aminoacyl-tRNA synthetases). tRNAs cope with the degeneracy of the genetic code in two manners: having more than one tRNA (with a specific anti-codon) for a particular amino acid; and 'wobble' base-pairing, i.e. permitting non-standard base-pairing at the 3rd anti-codon position. Lineage: Eukaryota; Metazoa; Chordata; Mammalia; Rodentia; Heteromyidae. The record is from Rfam by way of RNAcentral.
GGUGGCUCAGCGGCAGAGCGCUGGCCUCGCAUGCCUGAGGCCCUGGGUUCGAUUCCCCAGCACCA